This 404-nucleotide unclassified non-coding RNA is filed under the name soil metagenome. Its description in RNAcentral is "partial contains 5.8S ribosomal RNA, internal transcribed spacer 2, and large subunit ribosomal RNA". The stretch from base 1 to 121 matches the Rfam family "5.8S ribosomal RNA", at positions 35 to 154 of the family's 154-position model. The record is from RNAcentral.
GAUGAAGAACGUAGCGAAAUGCGAUAAGUAAUGUGAAUUGCAGAAUUCAGUGAAUCAUCGAAUCUUUGAACGCACCUUGCGCCCUUUGGCUAUUCCGAAGGGCAUGCCUGUUUGAGUAUCAUGAACACCUCAACUCUCAUGGUUUGCCAUGAUGAGCUUGGACUUUGGGGGUCUUGCCGGCCUAUGGGUCGGCUCCUCUCAAAUUAAUCAGCUUGCCGGUGUUUGGUGGCAUCACAGGUGUGAUAACUAUCUACGCUUGUGGUUUUCCAUCAGGUAACCUUCAGUGAUGGAGGUUCGCUGGGGCUCAUAAAUGUCUCUCCUCAGUGAGGACAGCUUUUUUGAACGUUUGAUCUCAAAUCAGGUAGGACUACCCGCUGAACUUAAGCAUAUCAAUAAGCGGAGGA